GUUAAUAUAGUCCUUCGCAUAGCCUUUACCUUUAGAGCCUUUAAACGUAAAAGUAUCUCUUCAGACAGUUGAGAUAAGAUCCAGUAUUUUCUGGGAAGCAGCGGGCUGAAUGUGAGCACAACCUAAAUGUGAAAACUAUAUAGUCCACUUCUUAGUGAUAUUAUAAUGUACUAUCUUCCAGUUUUUGUGAUUCCCACAUCGGUUCUUCUGGUUUCCAUGGUCCUUUUGGUUCUUCUGGCUUCUUGAUUUUUCUAAUUUCCUACGUUUUUCUGCUUCUGUUUGUUUUCUGGUCCUCUUGGUCGUCUAGUUCCCUUGCGUUUUUUUGGUUAUCUGGGUUCUUCUUGUUCUCUUGAACCUUUGAUUUUCUUGAUAUUUCUGGUUUUUUUGGUGUGUUCCUUCUGGUCCUAUAGGUCUUCUAGUUCCCUUUGUUCUUUUGGCGUUUUUUGGUUCUUCUGUUUUUUUCGGCUCUUCUGGUUGUUUUGGCAGUCUUGGCUUUCAUGUUCUCUUGGUUCUUUAGGUUUUCUUGGCUUUUAGUUCUCUUGGUUCUCUCGUUUCUUCUCGUUCUCCAGGUUUUCCUGUUUUUUUCUGGUGUUAAACACAAAGGACAUUACUAAUCACAGGUCGGUUGGGAAAGCUGUUACUCCUUAUAGUUUUUGAGCUUGAUUCUUUGUUCCUCUGGUUUACUUGGUUGUUCUGGUUCUAUUGGUACUUCUGGUUACAUUGGUAUUCUAGUCUUUUUGGUUCUCUUGGUUUUCUUGUCUGUUGGCCUUUUGGUUCUAACGGUUCUUCUAGUUUUGUCGGUUCUUCAGGUCCUGUCGAUCUUCUAGUUCUCUUUGUUUAUCUGGUUUUCGUGGUUUUUGUGAUCCUUUUGGCCUUCCAGUUUUCCUGGUUCUUUUGAUUUUCUUCAUUUUUCUGAUUUUCUUGGUCUUCAAGUUCACCUGAUUCUUCGGGGCUUUUU
Non-coding RNA from Paramuricea clavata, 958 nucleotides. The record is from the annotation of a GenBank genome assembly. Lineage: Eukaryota; Metazoa; Cnidaria; Anthozoa; Malacalcyonacea; Plexauridae.